Molecule: long non-coding RNA, 1147 nt
Filed under: Cricetulus griseus (Chinese hamster)
Lineage: Eukaryota; Metazoa; Chordata; Mammalia; Rodentia; Cricetidae
Description: lncRNA (ENSCGRG00015037656.1)
Source: RNAcentral
AUAUACACAGAAGAACUUCUCCCAUCACCAAAAUGUGCUCAGUUUCCUUGGGUGAUCUCAUUCAGGAAACAUGGACAUGGAACAGUUAUUUUACUUAGAAAAGCUUCAAGAUUCCAGGAUGAAAGUGUGAGAAUCAAGGGGUUUUGGUGGCUGAUGUUAAUGCUGUGGAGAGCUGCUAAUGCAAGGCCCUGUGUGGCAGGGACGGAGUCUGCAAAGAUGAACUCAACGGCCAUUGCAUGGAGAUGAAGGUGAAGCUUAAGUUGCAAUAAACAACCUAAGACAUCAGAGAUACCAGGACUCUGUGAUGCUUGCCAAGGAAAGCCUCAGCAAGAGUAGAUUGGAGCCUGCACAAGGCAGAGGUCCUGUUCUCUGAAAACAAAUGCACUGGAGAUGUGUGGCUAUCCAAGGACAUUGGAGUCUGGAUGGCUUCAUUAUAAGAACCUAGAUAAUGAUUUAAGGUGCAGGAUUUGGUUUGGACCUGCUGGGUUUCAAUCUUGUCUUGGUCUGAUUGUUCCUGCUGUAAGAAAAAAAUAUUUCCCCUUUCAGAAUAAGAAGGUUUGCUUUACACCAUUGGAUAUAUCUAACACUUAUUUUGUAUUGUAGAGGGCCUCACAGUUAACCGAUUGCCUUAGACUUAAAUGAGAGUGUCUUUAAAGAGCUUGUGUGGGUAUGUCAAUAGAUAUGUAACUUAGGGGCAAAGGCCUACAAUGGGCAUCACUGGGUUGGAGGCUCAGAAAAAAAGGACAAAGCAAGCAGAACACUGGUGUUGAUCAGUCUGUGCUUCCUGACUGCAGACAGCAGGUGACCAGGUAUCGCCCAUUUCUGCUGCCAUGCUUUCUCCAACAUGACCCUGUAUGCUCAAACCAUGAAGCAAAAAGCUCCAGCGGUGACCCAAAGUCCACUCUUUCCUUUUUAUUUUUCUUGGGGAUUUUGCAACAGCAAUGACACUAAUACAGUAGCCCUUGGCAUGCUUUGCUUGCUCCUUAGUGUCAUACAUCUGAGAAUUUCACAUUUCAUAGUUCAGUUACCUUCUGUGAGUCAGAUGGAAUUUAAAAAUAAACGUCUAUUCUUAUCUAAAUAUUUGCAUAUAUAUGUUUUAAAUGACUAUAAUGUCUGCUAUAGUUCUUACUGCAUAAAAGUCUCAUGA